UUGUUGUUAGCCUUCAUGGUAUGAGGUUGCGUGUGUCGCAUGCGUGUGUGCUAGAUAGGUGGAUCGGCGUGUUACAUCACGCGUUCACCCGGGACUAUUCCGGUUGUCUGGUCGAGCGCGGUCAGGGUGCCUGUCACACGGAACUGACAACAGAGGACAGUUCCUCGUGAGCGCGACUUUCAAACGAAACACUUGGGAGAAACAACAGUCAUGAUGCACGAAAGUCACGCUUCCAGAAAUUGCAUUGGCUAAUUCUCGAGUAAAAAGAUGAUAGAAUUUAGAAAAGAUAAAGUUGAAGAUCAUUUUGCGAGAGACUGAAAUAUCGUUAGUUGCAAAUGUUCAAUUCGCGAGUGCUGUAAACGU
Long non-coding RNA from Frieseomelitta varia, 363 nucleotides. RefSeq lists it as uncharacterized. The record is from RefSeq and is a predicted model, not a curated record. The transcript is spliced from 2 exons. Lineage: Eukaryota; Metazoa; Arthropoda; Insecta; Hymenoptera; Apidae.